RNAcentral lists this long non-coding RNA (1422 nucleotides) under Nicotiana tabacum (common tobacco). Its description in RNAcentral is "long non-coding RNA (NTAB_LNC001531)". The record is from RNAcentral. Lineage: Eukaryota; Viridiplantae; Streptophyta; Magnoliopsida; Solanales; Solanaceae.
GGAUUUACUGGGUUCAAUGCCCAGGCCAACUUGCCUGGGCCUAGACUUGCUCGAAUGAAUCUCAAACUUGGGCCUGGACGCAAGUCUGGCCCAAUUUUCAUUUACAUGCAACUACAAAACAUGUUUAUUACAGAGGAAAAUCUCUUAUUGAAAGUCUACUGAUAAUCAAGCAUAAUUUGAAACUUAACAGUCCGUUUACAAUAUUGUGAGUCCAAGAAUUUAUACAAGAAAGAUUUUAAUCCUAAUGAAUCAAUAUCCUAACAGCCAUCAUAACUAGCAUCUAAAAAUGAAAAUUCUGAAAAGUAAAAAAAAAAAAAAAAAAAAAAAAAAUUUCUUCUGGUUUCAAAAUUCCUUCCAUCAACUACUUCAAAAUCAGUGCAUAAGAUCUGCAAGAGGCCAGCUACAAAGAUGCUUCUCACAAGAUGAUUACUUAAGCUCCCAACCUGAAGUUUCUUACUGCCAAAUCAGCUUCUAUUUUUACUAAGAAUUUCAUGGAUCUGACCAUGUGAAAAGGCCAGAUUCACAAAAUAACUUUAGCUAUACUAACCUACUACAUUGUCAGACCCAAACUUAAACAUAUAAUGAGAAACAAUAGUGAUUCAUGGGUUAAACCAUGUUAAAGGUUAAACUCAUGAACCAAUAUGAGGUUCAAACCCAAAACCAUGGCCUACUGCCUUGGGGAAAUGCUAGAAUGGAUUAAAGAGAAGGGAAGGGUUGGUUUAAGACAUGAAUUUGACCAUGUAAGGGUCAGACUCAAUGAACAACCAAGUUUCAAGAACAGGGAUUUAAACAUACUAUCUAACUAAUGCAAAAAAAAAAAAAAACAGAAAUGCACAUUAGCUAAAGCAAAGGAAUGAUCAAUGUUAAAGUUACAUAAAGAACAGAUUCUUAGGAUAUAGAACCAAAGAGGCAAAAGAACAUUCAUUUGGGAAGGAAGAUAUUCAACAAUGAUUGCAGCUUCAGACAAACAAACAUACAGAUAUGUGAACAACAGAGAUCAAUUGCAUUCAUCUUAAGUUGCAUUUAUAUGCACUGAAACAUGGAAGAAACAUGAAUACCUUGAAACAACAACUAAAUAACAACAGCUAAAUUGAAGGAAAUAGCUGCUAGAAGCUUCAGAAUUACAAAAACAGCAACAGGAAUCAACACAGCUUCAGUAACCAAGUAAACCCCAGAGUUUCAAAACCAAGAACAAGCAUUUGAAAACCAGGAAAUCCCUCAGUAAAUUACCUUAGAAGGCUCUCUAUUUCAAACCAUUUUCCCAGCUUAUGAACAAAAGAGGAAUGUUUUUCCUUUUGAAAUGUUUCUAAGGUUUUUGUAAAAUCUGGAAAGAGAACCUUUGUGCAGAGAAUAAGGCUGGUGAUUGCUAAUUUAUUCUCCCUUUUAGAAUGAGGGAAACCUACAUAUAUAGGCUGCCUAGGG